Long non-coding RNA from Cavia porcellus (domestic guinea pig), 1285 nucleotides. RefSeq lists it as uncharacterized. Lineage: Eukaryota; Metazoa; Chordata; Mammalia; Rodentia; Caviidae. The transcript is spliced from 3 exons. The record is from RefSeq and is a predicted model, not a curated record.
CUGGAAUCCCAACCUGCAUAGACCUGCGGCAAACCUAAUGCUUGGGCUUGAGAUCUUCCAAUUUUGCUGUAGUAUUUGAAGACCAAAGGUACACCCCACGGAUUGAUCCGUGGGCUGGAUCAAGUGGCGCCCAGUGUGGGGGCUCCUGGCAUGGGGGAGUCAACGAAGGAGCCAUUGGAGAAAGCCAGCUAAAAGUGAAAGCAAAUUGAACCAAAGACCACGGCAAAAGGAAAAACAAACUAAAUCAAGGAUCAAAGCUAAAAGCAAAAGGACAUUAAAUCAAGGAUGAGGCCUGUGCAGAUGACUACCCAAUGUCCUGCCCGAGUCACGAUGACACAACUCCCCGGAGUCCUAUGCUGCCUACUCAGCCUUAUCCUUGAGCCACACCACACCCAUGGUGGAUUUAGACCCUUGCAAACAGACUACAACUGCUGACAGCCAUGCACACAACCCCCUGUGACUGCGGAGGAGGAUCUUCUCCGUCUGGAGGAACAUAAAUCAGCCAAAUAGACUGCGCCCGGUGUUAUGCGAGGCAAGCUCCAAGAAAUAGAAGAAGGACUUCAACAAGGACAACAAUAAAUGCUGCCAACCCCUUCUCCUCGAUGUGUGUGUGUGUGGGGGGGGGGGAGCUUUUCCCUUACCUAGCGCCCCUUUUGGGCCCCCUAGCUGCCCUACUGCUUCUCCUUUCUGUGAGUCCUUGUAUUUUUAGAGGAUUAUGAUGCUCAUUAAUAACCGGAUAGACGCGUUUAUGGCAAAGCCCAUUCAGGUACACUGUCAUCAGCUGGAGAUGGCAGAACAACAAACCUACCGGGAAGGAAUUCCCACAAAUGGCCCAUAUGAUGAUGCGGCCUAACUGCCCUGGGGCAAUGGACAGGCAGUCAAAGACGGGCAACUAGGACAUGCAUGCUAACUCCAUCCGCCGCCUAAGACAGGCACAGGACCAACUGCUGUCCUGCAACCCAUGACCGAUAAGGCCUGGUUGGGCUCAUGUAAUGAGGUCCUUGACCUAAGACAGAUGCUGUCCUCACAGGGCCUGCUAUACUCCUCAUUAAAUAAUAUAGAAAGGGAGGAGAUGUAGGGAGCCAUGUGACAGCCCCAUUGCUGCCUCCCUGCCUCACUCUCUCCUAUGGGCACAAUGCGUCUGCCUACAUUAACCAUAAUUCUCUCCUGCUUAUGUCACAUACCCGGAUGUGAUGAUGACCCUGUUGUAUUCAUCCCCGUAGCCUCUUCCUGUCCCACCAGCCUGCCCUUGGCCUACAAAAGAUGUAAUCACUUCCGGAGUAAA